This is a long non-coding RNA of Triticum aestivum (bread wheat), 656 nucleotides long. RefSeq lists it as uncharacterized. The record is from RefSeq and is a predicted model, not a curated record. The transcript is spliced from 3 exons. Lineage: Eukaryota; Viridiplantae; Streptophyta; Magnoliopsida; Poales; Poaceae.
UACGCGGGGACAGAUCUAAAAAAACAUGUCUAUCGCUGCUAAUAUCUCCCUUUCCAAGCCGCCAUGAACUGUAGGCCUGCUGCGAUCGGAUCUGUCCAUCGCGCUCGCGCUGUUGCGCCGCCAUCUAGAAACGGAGAAGGGAAGGGGACGCCAGGACAGACAUGCGUCGAUCAGCGGACCACGGACAGGUUGCCGGCAAGCCGGACGCAUGGAUGUGCGGCAACAACAUGAGGGGAAAAGAUGUGAAGAGGAAGAGAGCAGAAUCAAUUCAUAUUUUUUUAAACCCAGUUGAUUCAAGCUCUCAACUGUCGGAAUAUGAUGCUACUGCAAACGAUGUGCAACACUUCAAUUGAUGCCAUGGUGUAGGCAAGAAGUAUUUUAUUUUGAACAUUUAGAAUUUCAUAAUACAUGAUAUUUAAUAAUUUUUCUCUAUUGAUUGCAUCAGGUGGUUACUGUCCAAAUCAUCUCCCUUCGGAGGAAAGGUGAAUAUGGGGAUUCCAAGAACCAAGGUUAUUGCUUUGGACAAGAUUGAAACAUCUAGCAAGCACAUCGAGCAGAAUAUACUACCAUGUGUGAAAGAUUUCGAUCACGAGUCAGUUAGGAAGGCAAUAGACUCAAUUACAUCCCAUCAGGGUCAAGAAGUUUUUUUUGCUGGC